RNAcentral lists this ribosomal RNA (448 nucleotides) under uncultured bacterium. RNAcentral describes it as "bacterial SSU rRNA". It matches the Rfam family "Bacterial small subunit ribosomal RNA", at positions 329 to 794 of the family's 1533-position model. The record is from RNAcentral.
UUCCAGACUCCUACGGGAGGCAGCAGUGGGGAAUAUUGCACAAUGGGGGAAACCCUGAUGCAGCGACGCCGCGUGAGCGAUGAAGUAUUUCGGUAUGUAAAGCUCUAUCAGCAGGGAAGAAAAUGACGGUACCUGACUAAGAAGCCCCGGCUAACUACGUGCCAGCAGCCGCGGUAAUACAUAGGGGGCAAGCGUUAUCCGGAAUUAUUGGGUGUAAAGGGUGCGUAGACGGAAGAACAAGUUGGUUGUGAAAUCCCUCGGCUCAACUGAGGAACUGCAACCAAAACUAUUCUCCUUGAGUGUCGGAGAGGAAAGUGGAAUUCCUAGUGUAGCGGUGAAAUGCGUAGAUAUUAGGAGGAACACCAGUGGCGAAGGCGACUUUCUGGACGAUAACUGACGUUGAGGCACGAAAGUGUGGGGAGCAAACAGGAUUAGAUACCCCUGUAGU